UAGGAGUACAGAUAAUUCCCAAGAAGCUGC
This 30-nucleotide non-coding RNA is filed under the name Mus musculus (house mouse). Lineage: Eukaryota; Metazoa; Chordata; Mammalia; Rodentia; Muridae. The record is from RNAcentral.